UGAGGAAUAUUGGUCAAUGGGCGGAAGCCUGAACCAGCCAUGCCGCGUGAAGGACUAAGGCCCUAUGGGUCGUAAACUUCUUUAGACGCAGAGCAAUAAGGGUCUCGCGAGAUCCGAUGAGAGUAUGCGUAGAAUAAGCAUCGGCUAACUCCGUGCCAGCAGCCGCGGUAAUACGGGGGAUGCGAGCGUUAUCCGGAUUCAUUGGGUUUAAAGGGUGCGCAGGCGGGUCUGUAAGCCCGUGGUGAAAGCCUGGUGCUCAACGCCAGAGGUGCCGCGGGAACUGCAGGUCUUGAGUCGUGACGAGGGCGGCGGAAUGCGAAGUGUAGCGGUGAAAUGCUUAGAUAGUUCGCAGAACGCCGAUUGCGAAGGCAGCCGCCCAGGGACGCACUGACGCUGAGGCACGAAGGCAUGGGGAUCGAACA
RNAcentral lists this ribosomal RNA (422 nucleotides) under uncultured bacterium. Its description in RNAcentral is "bacterial SSU rRNA". It matches the Rfam family "Bacterial small subunit ribosomal RNA", at positions 355 to 774 of the family's 1533-position model. The record is from RNAcentral.